Toxocara canis (dog roundworm) is the source of this 72-nucleotide transfer RNA. It matches the Rfam family "tRNA". Rfam says of the family: Transfer RNA (tRNA) molecules are approximately 80 nucleotides in length. Their secondary structure includes four short double-helical elements and three loops (D, anti-codon, and T loops). The record is from Rfam. Lineage: Eukaryota; Metazoa; Nematoda; Chromadorea; Rhabditida; Toxocaridae.
GUGGCAGUAGCUCAGUGGCAGAGCUCCCGCUUCAUAGGUGGGAAGACCUGCAUUCGAUUCCCGGCUGCUUUC